This 586-nucleotide ribosomal RNA is filed under the name uncultured bacterium. Its description in RNAcentral is "bacterial SSU rRNA". It matches the Rfam family "Bacterial small subunit ribosomal RNA", at positions 338 to 916 of the family's 1533-position model. The record is from RNAcentral.
CCUACGGGAGGCAGCAGUAGGGAAUCUUCCGCAAUGGACGAAAGUCUGACGGAGCAACGCCGCGUGAGCGAUGAAGGCCUUCGGGUCGUAAAGCUCUGUUGUUAGGGAAGAACAAGUGCCGAGUAACUAUCGGCACCUUGACGGUACCUAACCAGAAAGCCACGGCUAACUACGUGCCAGCAGCCGCGGUAAUACGUAGGUGGCAAGCGUUGUCCGGAAUUAUUGGGCGUAAAGCACGCGCAGGCGGUUCUUUAAGUCUGACGUGGAAGCCCCCGGCUCAACCGGGGAGGGUCAUUGGAAACUGGGGAACUUGAGUGCAGAAGAGGAGAGCGGAAUUCCACGUGUAGCGGUGAAAUGCGUAGAGAUGUGGAGGAACACCAGUGGCGAAGGCGGCUCUCUGGUCUGUAACUGACGCUGAGGCGCGAAAGCGUGGGGAGCAAACAGGAUUAGAUACCCUGGUAGUCCACGCCGUAAACGAUGAGUGCUAAGUGUUGGAGGGUAUCCACCCUUCAGUGCUGCAGCUAACGCAUUAAGCACUCCGCCUGGGGAGUACGGUCGCAAGACUGAAACUCAAAGGAAUUGACGG